Non-coding RNA from Colwellia psychrerythraea 34H, 56 nucleotides. The record is from Rfam. Lineage: Bacteria; Pseudomonadati; Pseudomonadota; Gammaproteobacteria; Alteromonadales; Colwelliaceae.
UUAAACAGAUUGUUUGCCUGAAAAGGCAUGGCUGGUGAUUUAAACGUCACCGGCCU